GACGAACGCUGGCGGCGUGCUUAACACAUGCAAGUCGAACGGAAAGGCCUGCUUUCCCUUGUGGAUUGCGGGUACUCGAGUGGCGAACGGGUGAGUAACACGUGAGUGAUCUGCCCCCAACUUGGGUAUAAGCCUGGGAAACUGGGUCUAAUUCCCGAUAGGACUGCAGGGUGGUGCCUGUGGUGGAAAACGAUUUUCUAGUGGUUGGGGAUGAGCUCGCGGCCUAUCAGCUUGUUGGUGGGGUAAUGGCCUACCAAGGCGGCGACGGGUAGCCGGCCUGAGAGGGUGGACGGCCACAUUGGGACUGAGAUACGGCCCAGACUCCGACGGGAGGCAGCAGUGUGGAAUAUUGCACAAUGGGCGGAAGCCUGAUGCAGCGACGCCGCGUGGGGGAUGACGGCCUUCGGGUUGUAAACUCCUUUCGACCGCGAGGAAGCCACCUGGUUGGAAGGGUGGUGACGGUAGUGGUAGAAGAAGCACCGGCUAACUACGUG
Molecule: ribosomal RNA, 494 nt
Filed under: uncultured bacterium
Lineage: Bacteria
Description: partial 16S ribosomal RNA
Rfam family: Bacterial small subunit ribosomal RNA
Source: RNAcentral